UGAGGAAUAUUGGUCAAUGGGGGCAACCCUGAACCAGCCAAGUCGCGUGAAGGAUGAAGGUCUUAUGGAUUGUAAACUUCUUUUAUACAGGAAUAAAUUGGGGGACGUGUCCCCUUUUGCAUGUACUGUAUGAAUAAGGAUCGGCUAACUCCGUGCCAGCAGCCGCGGUAAUACGGAGGAUCCGAGCGUUAUCCGGAUUUAUUGGGUUUAAAGGGUGCGCAGGCGGGAUGUUAAGUCGGCGGUGAAAUUUUGCAGCUCAACUGUAAAAGUGCCUUCGAUACUGGCCUCCUUGAGUGUGGAUGAAGUAGGCGGAAUUUGUGGUGUAGCGGUGAAAUGCGUAGAUAUCACGAGGAACUCCGAUUGCGCAGGCAGCUUACUAAGCCACAACUGACGCUCAUGCACGAAGGCGUGGGGAUCAAACA
This 422-nucleotide ribosomal RNA is filed under the name uncultured bacterium. RNAcentral describes it as "bacterial SSU rRNA". It matches the Rfam family "Bacterial small subunit ribosomal RNA", at positions 355 to 774 of the family's 1533-position model. The record is from RNAcentral.